CAGGGUCCCGCCUUCAGGUGUUUGGGACUCAGCUGAGGGUGUGGGUGCCCCGCGGUGGGGGCUGAACCUUCCUGGGGUGUGGAGAGACGAAAGGAGCCCAGAUCCAAGUUCCCUCGUUCCCGCUUUGGCAUAAGUUGCCCUGGCGGUCUCAUGAGAGAGAGAAAGAGCUGGGACCCUCCUCGCCCCAGUGAGUGUGAUGUCUUGCUCCGGGUGUCCUGGGGCAACUUUCUAUACAGGCGGGACGUGGGAGGAUCAGACAGUGUAACAUCAGACAAGGGUGUUGACUCUGCAGCACAGAACCAGUAGUUUGUGGAGAAGAAUGGAGGUGUGGUGUUGAAUCUGCUAGACAGGCUACUGAAGCAAAAGUCAAGAGAUCCAGAUUCCAUCAUGGGGACACUUUAGUUCUUCAUCGGGUAAUUGAGCUGAUAUCAGGUGUCUGAAGGAGGCAAGUUUUGAAGAUGUGGGUCAUGAUGGCUGCUGAAGCUUCCACUCCAUAUUUGAAGGUCAGCAGUUCUCAGGAAACCUCUAGCACUUCCAUCCCUGGUGGGAUGUGAUGCCUGUCUCAGGU
RNAcentral lists this long non-coding RNA (568 nucleotides) under Homo sapiens (human). Its description in RNAcentral is "non-protein coding lnc-BEX3-2:6". The record is from RNAcentral. Lineage: Eukaryota; Metazoa; Chordata; Mammalia; Primates; Hominidae.